Molecule: ribosomal RNA, 253 nt
Filed under: uncultured bacterium
Lineage: Bacteria
Description: partial 16S ribosomal RNA
Rfam family: Bacterial small subunit ribosomal RNA
Source: RNAcentral
UACGUAGGGUGCAGGCGUUAAUCGGAAUUACUGGGCGUAAAGCGUGCGCAGGCGGUUUCUUAAGUCAGAUGUGAAAGCCCCGGGCUUAACCUGGGAACUGCGUUUGAAACUGGGAGACUUGAGUGUGGCAGAGGGGGGUGGGAUUCCACGUGUAGCAGUGAAAUGCGUAGAUAUGUGGAGGAACACCGAUGGCGAAGGCAGCCCCCUGGGUUAACACUGACGCUCAUGCACGAAAGCGUGGGGAGCAAACAGG